This 64-nucleotide small RNA is filed under the name Ancylostoma ceylanicum. Its description in RNAcentral is "Nematode sRNA ceN72-3_ceN74-2". It matches the Rfam family "Nematode sRNA ceN72-3_ceN74-2". The record is from Rfam by way of RNAcentral. Lineage: Eukaryota; Metazoa; Nematoda; Chromadorea; Rhabditida; Ancylostomatidae.
UGCGAUAGGUCCGGAGUCAGUGGGUUAUCCUGAAACCCCCCAUUGGCGCUCACUCGACCUCCGC